UUGUUGACACUAGGGGUCAACAGACCACACUUUAAGGACUGUUGCUUAUUAAUUCAGAAACAACAAAGUUCGGAAAGACUACCAGAAAAAAAAAAUAAUCGCCACACUGACUUCCACAAUGGUUGAACUAGUUUACAGUCCCACCAACAGUGUAAAAGUGUUCCUAUUUCUCCACAUCCUCUCCAGCACCUGUUGUUUCCUGAGUUUUUAAUGAUCACCAUUCUAACUAGUGUGAGAUGGUAUCUCAUUGUGGUUUUGAUUUGCAUUUUAUCAUAUGUAAACAUAUAUAUAUAAGACACAUAUAUAUGUGCUUUUUAAAGAGACUUCUCACCAUUUUACCCUAUCCUUCCCAAAAUUAUUUUUAAAAAUAGUUUUGCUCAAUCUAUACAAAGAAAAAUUUCAUUUUUAUUUGAAUGGUUCCAAUUCUAGUCAUCUGAAAAGCUAAAUAAUUUAUCAGAAUGUUGUUGGUUAGAGAUGAAAUAAGAAUGAAAGAUGAUAAAUGUUCUUAAGGAUAUUUCAUCUAGGCCUUGAUAAAAGAUGAGAAAAUAACCUCACAACAAAGCACAACAGACCUUCAUAGUAACUGAAACUAAAUGUCUGUCUCCCC
This 607-nucleotide long non-coding RNA is filed under the name Homo sapiens (human). Its description in RNAcentral is "non-protein coding lnc-GOLIM4-2:1". Lineage: Eukaryota; Metazoa; Chordata; Mammalia; Primates; Hominidae. The record is from RNAcentral.